RNAcentral lists this long non-coding RNA (3012 nucleotides) under Citrus x clementina. RNAcentral's name for it is "Citrus clementina (C. clementina) long non-coding RNA (CCLE_LNC000370)". The record is from RNAcentral. Lineage: Eukaryota; Viridiplantae; Streptophyta; Magnoliopsida; Sapindales; Rutaceae.
UCACCAUUUCUCAUCUUUGUAUAUUCUUUAUUAUCUAAUAAAUAGAGAAAUUGUCUUUUAGAUUUGACUUUUCAUUUUCUCAUAAUUAAUUUGAUUGUUAUUACACAAUAACAAUUAUGUAAAUAUUUUAAUGAGGCACAUUCUUUGUAAUGAACAUCCAAGGGGGAGUGUUAUAAAUUUAUUAAAAUAAAUGUAGAUGUUUAUAACAUAAAAUCUCUUAGUCUCUCCACUAUCUCCCAUUAGCAACAUUUAGCUUCCCUAUAACUCCCACUAUCUCACAAGAAAUUAUGAUCCAUAAUUUUUCAUUAAUUUCAUGGAGUGAUUAUGUAACUAUAAAAGGAGAGCUCAUCUUUUUAUUUUGUAUACACACAAUUGGAAUCAAUAAAAUCAUUAUAUAAUAUAUUCUUUUAUUUUAUUCUUUAUCUUGCAUUACUUCUUUAUUUGUAUUGCUAGCUAAUAGCUUUUUAUGUUUUUUAUAAGGCUGCCUCAUUUUAAAAAAAAAUCAAUUCAUAUUUUUUAUCAGUUUAUCAAGUGUAAAGUAGGAAAAAAGGAUAAUACUAAAUUCUUUUUUCAAAGCCGCGUGAAGCGCGGUUCUAUUUUUUAGUAUAUAUAUAAAGCUGGGACUUGAGGAGGUGAUGUGGAAUCACCAUUUCUCAUCUUUGUAUAUUCUCUAUUAUCUAAUAAAUAGAGAAAUUUUCUUUUAUAUUUGAUUUUUCAUCUUUUCAUAAUUAAUUUGAUUGUUAUUACACAAUAAAAAUUAUGCAAAGAUUUUAAUGAGGCAUAUUAUUUGUAAUGAACAUUCAAAGGGGAGUGUUAUGAAUUUAUUAAAAUAAAUGUAGAUGUUCAUAACAUAUAUCUCUUAGUCUCUCCACUAUCUCUCAUUAGCAAUAUUUAGCUUCCCUAUAACUCCCACUAUCUCAUAAGGAAUUAUGAUCCAUAAUUUUUCAUUAAUUUCAUGGAGUGAUUAUGUAACUAUAAAAGGAGAGCUCAUCUUUUUGUUUUGUACACACACAAUUGGAAUGAAUAAAAUCACUCUAUAAUAUAUUCUCUAAUUUUAUUCUUUAUCUUGCGUUGCUUCUUUAUUUGUAUUGCUGGCUAAUAGCUUUUUUUGUUUUUUAUAAGGCUGCCUCAUCUUAAAAAAAAAUCAAUUCAUAUUUUUUAUCAGUUUCAUCAAGUGUAAAAUAAGAAAAAAAGAUAAUAUUAAUUUUUUUUUCAAAGCCGCGUGAAGCGCGAUUCUAUUUUCUAGUUUUUUUAAUAAAGAGAGAGCAGGGCCAACUCAAGCUUUUUUGUCCACCCUACAUAUAACAGAAAAACCUCAUCCUUUAGUCAAUAGCCUCAGACAAGCUCCCAAGCUGUUCGUAAAUGAAAUUUCGAUCGAGAGCAAGAUCCCAACAAAUCAAGUCUGCACCCAUACUAGAAAUAGGAAUCAACAUAAUCUAUUUGACAAUUUAUGAGGGCAACAUAUUCAGGAGUUUACUCCUAUCCCAAAUAGUACCCGAUCAGUAAAAGGAAACUAACACUAUAGAUGUCGCAUUAGAAUUAUAAAAGAAUAAAGGGAAAGAGUCUAGCCACCAAUCAUACCAGAAACUACACGCCUAACAGCCAAUCAUCCAAUGCACAUGAGGCUAAACAACACAUUGAAUCAAGUAUUUUAAUAAAUAUGUUAAAAAAUGUUAGACUGAAUUUUUUAUUUAAAAAAUUUAUAAAAUAAGUUGAUGACACGGCUAAUAAACCAGUCAGAUUGAUUCAAAUUUAACUUGACACCCCACACCAAACUAUAAAUAUCAAUGAAUUUACAAAAACAGAAUGAUUGUUCUCACAAUAACGAGUACAAUACUGAGCAUAGAACAAUGCAUUUUAGACACAUUAUAAAAACUAAAAUUGUAACGCUUAAAAUACUUUCAAGUAAUUAAUCUUGGCCCUCACUUCGUUACGCUCCCUCAUUCUCUCUUCUCCCAAAUCCAAUCGCCUAACAGCCAAGUAAUUAAUCAUCCUUGUCUCUCUCAUCCCAUCUCUGACAUAUGGGUAUGAGAGAGACAAUGAUGAUUGAUUUGGAAGAAGAAAGAGUGAGGGAGCAAGACAAAAGAUAGAGAGAGCCCAGUCGAUUGCUUCAGAGCGUUGAUUUGGGUGUUAUAAUUUCAGUUUUCAAACUAAGUCUAAAACGCAGCGUUCAAUAAUGUCCCACUUGUUUCCGGGAAAGCCAAUUCAAGCGAAUUUGGAAAAAUGCAAAUAAAAGCUAAGUACAAAACUAAAAGUAAUAGAGGUAGAUGAAAAGCUUAUUUGAGAUUGAGGUUGGACAGUUGCACUUUAAAAGUUACAAUACUAAAGUAUUAGAUAAAUACUAACUGUUGUAGUUUCGAAAAUAAGUUAAUUUGAUUUUAUACUUCAAUGAUGAAAAAUCUAUUAUAUUUAUAUCUUUACUAAUUUUAUCAAAAUUAUUAUUUAAAAAUUAUAUUUAUUAUAUAACAUUGACUUUUAUUUCAUAAUUAUAUAUAUAUUUUUUUUACGACACUUUAAUUCCAAACAGAAUUGAAAGCUCAGUAUGUUCUACCAUAUAAUGUGUUAUCCCAACUGUGACAUCUCAUUUCAACUGAAAAUUAUUUCAAAUGACAAAAUCUUACAACAAAGAUACGUAUUAAUUGUAUAUCAUGAUGCAAGGUAUUGACACCUCAUAUAUUAAAGAAAUUGAUAAAUAUGCAACAAAACAUAUAUAGUGUUUAUUUUAUUUGAUAUGUAUAACACGGCAGAAAAAUCGUAGUGUCCUUUCUAUUGCAUUAAUUUCCACUUGCUAGUGGCUGCUAUUCCUUUUGCCUUUAUUUCUUGAAAUUGUAUACGUACACCAAGCAGGUUAUAGAGCAUUCUUUGCCAAUAACGUUGAGUUUGGCUUUAUACUGAUAUCUUUGUUAUUGAAAAGGUAGAAAAUUAAAGCAGAAAUACAAUAUAAUCUCUAUAAAUUAUUACUCUAUAAAUUAAUUAUCUCUAUUAUGUAAUAAUUUUUUACCGUCCUGACUU